This 465-nucleotide ribosomal RNA is filed under the name uncultured Klebsiella sp. RNAcentral describes it as "bacterial SSU rRNA". It matches the Rfam family "Bacterial small subunit ribosomal RNA", at positions 338 to 795 of the family's 1533-position model. Lineage: Bacteria; Pseudomonadati; Pseudomonadota; Gammaproteobacteria; Enterobacterales; Enterobacteriaceae. The record is from RNAcentral.
CCUACGGGGGGCAGCAGUGGGGAAUAUUGCACAAUGGGCGCAAGCCUGAUGCAGCCAUGCCGCGUGUGUGAAGAAGGCCGUCGGGUUGUAAAGCACUUUAAGCGGGGAGGAAGGCGGUGAGGUUAAUAACCUCAUCGAUUGACGUUACCCGCAGAAGAAGCACCGGCUAACUCCGUGCCAGCAGCCGCGGUAAUACGGAGGGUGCAAGCGUUAAUCGGAAUUACUGGGCGUAAAGCGCACGCAGGCGGUCUGUCAAGUCGGAUGUGAAAUCCCCGGGCUCAACCUGGGAACUGCAUUCGAAACUGGCAGGCUAGAGUCUUGUAGAGGGGGGUAGAAUUCCAGGUGUAGCGGUGAAAUGCGUAGAGAUCUGGAGGAAUACCGGUGGCGAAGGCGGCCCCCUGGACAAAGACUGACGCUCAGGUGCGAAAGCGUGGGGAGCAAACAGGAUUAGAUACCCGGGUAGUC